CUACGGGAGGCAGCAGUGAGGAAUUUUGCGCAAUGGGGGAAACCCUGACGCAGCAACGCCGCGUGAGCGAAGAAGGCCUUCGGGUCGUAAAGCUCUGUCAAGUGGGAAAAAAAUCUUUUGAUCAAUAGUCAAAAGACUUGAUGGUACCACUGGAGGAAGCACCGGCUAACUCCGUGCCAGCAGCCGCGGUAAUACGGAGGGUGCAAGCGAUGUUCGGAUUUACUGGGCGUAAAGAGCGUGUAGGCGGUUUAGCAAGUCAGAUGUGAAAGCCCUGGGCUCAACCCGGGAAGUGCAUUUGAAACUGCUUCACUAGAGUAAGGGAGAGGAGGUUGGAAUUCCUGGUGGAGAGGUGAAAUUCGUAGAUAUCAGGAGGAACACCCGUGGCGAAGGCGAUUCUCUGGACCAAUACUGACGCUGAGACGCGAAAGCGUGGGGAGCAAACAGGAUUAGAUACCCGAGUAGUC
This 464-nucleotide ribosomal RNA is filed under the name uncultured bacterium. RNAcentral's name for it is "partial 16S ribosomal RNA". It matches the Rfam family "Bacterial small subunit ribosomal RNA", at positions 339 to 795 of the family's 1533-position model. The record is from RNAcentral.